GGGGUCUGGCAAUGACAGUCUCUCCAAUGUGCCUGUCACCUGACAAGCAUGCUUGCUGUCAAGCACUGCAUGCUUAGAGUGAGUGAGGAUCAACGGCAAAUAUCUUACUAAGCUACUGUUUGCAGAUGAUAUUGUCCUGUUCAGCAACAAUGAGAAUGAAUUGCAACAAAUUUAGAAAGUGUAAUCUGUGCAAGAGUAUGAUUAUCUGGGCCAAUUACUCACAGGUUACUUGUAUCUUGUUAAUAAACAUCUGCAAAUUCUAGAUAAAUGUCUAUAGAAUCUGUGGAAGAGUAUGUUUGUCUAGUUCAGUUGCUCACAGAGGACCCCGGCGACAUGAAGGAAAUUUACAGAAGAAUAAAAAUGGGUUGAAGCCCAUAUGACGGCCACUGCCAAAUUGUGACCAACUACGUAUAUUUACCACUAUCCUUGAAAAGAAAGGUGUACAAUCAUUGCAUUCUGUCAGUGCCAACAUAUGGGGCAGAAACUUGGAGGUUAACAAAGAAGCUUGAGAACAAGUUCAGGAAUGUGCAAAGAGUGAUGGAACGAAUAAUGUCAGGUGUAAUGUUGAGAUGGGAAGAGAGCAGUGUGGAUCAGAGAACAAACGGGGAUAGCCAAUAUUCUAGUUAACAUUAAGACGAAAAAUAUGGAGCUGAGCAGACCAUGUAAUGCAUCGGACAGGUAACCGGUGGACCAAUAGAGUUACAGAAUGGAUGCUAAGGGAAGGGAAGUGAAGCACAUUUGUGUAUGGCAGAAAAUUGGUUCGAGUGAUGAAAUUGGGAACUUCACAGGCACAACUAUGAAUCAGCUAAUGCAGGACUGGGGUAAUUGCAGAUCACUGGGAGGGGCUUUUGUCCUGCAGUGAACAUAAAUAUAGGCUGAUGAUGAUGACUUAAAUCUCUCUGGAAAUUUAAAGAAGGAUGAAAAUGAGUUGGAGCACAUAGGGCAGGCAUUAUGAAGUUGUAAAGGGGAAAACAAAACUAUGCAGUCAUUGUAUCAUCAUUCUAUCAGUACCAGCAUAUGGAGCAGAACCUUGCAUGUUAACAAAGAAGCUUCCGAAGAAGUUAGUUACCAUGCAAUGAACAAUGGAACGAAAAAUGAUAGACUGAUGUUGAGAGGCAUAGAUUAGACAGCAAACGACAGGGGUAGCUGAUAUUGUAGUUAUUAAUUAAAAAGAAUAAAUGGAGAUGGCUGGGCAGGUCACGAAUGUGUAAGGUGGUUAACCUGGUGGUCUCAUCAGUGGCAGAUUGGGUGCCAUGAGAAGGGAAGGGUGGUUAAGGACGGCAGAGAAUUAAGUGGUGUGAUGAAAUUGGGGAAACUUGCAGGCGUAUGAUGGUGUAAGCCGGCACUAGAUGGGGAGGGGGGGGGGCUAGUUGGAGAUCGCUGGGACAGGCCUUCGUCCUGCAGUGAACACAAAUAUGAUGGUUGCGAUAAUGAUGAUAAAUGCCUGGCAAGCAUCUGUUGUCAUGGUUGAAUAAUGACAUAAGUGCCGCGGAGAACUUGGAAGGACCGUGAAGAAGUCAAAAUUGGUGGUUAGUUUAAUAUUCAUGCCUCCCCUAAUUAUGCAUUCAAUGAAUUCACUUUCAACAAACUUCAUAUUUACACACUAUUAACCCUUUCAGGCGCUGUGUACAGUUAUGUGCAUGAAGACAGUGCAUCAACAGCAAAAGCAAUGAUAAAAGUAGGGGCAUUUAAAAUGUGUCCCUUACAUAUUGAAACACUUGUGAUUAGAAUGGUGCUACAACUUUGAAUAAAAUGUACAAAAUGUUUUAGCAAAUUCAGUGGGAAAGAAGACAGUUGGAUGUUUUUACUCUGUGUCAGUGUGGGUAUGUAGUGCGUUCACUUCUUUUGUUUUUCAUUAUGUCAAGCAACAGGCAUAUUUUUCAAGUGGCUGAAUAAGUGCCUUUCAAGCUGCUUUUCAAGCUGCUUUUCAAUAAGUGCUUUUCAAGAAAUGUGGUGAAAGCAAGUUUUCAAUCAACAGGAUAAAGUGGCAUCUGAAAGGGUUAAUUAUAACUGCCAGGCAUGCACCUGUUAUUGUGGUUAAGCACUUGGAGACAUAGGUUGCACAUAUAAGUACUGUGUAGAAGUCUAAAUUGGUGGCUUAGUAGCUGUGCCAUUCUGGUGCUGAGAAUAAGGAAAAUGGAAGAACGCUCAUGUAUUCAGUGUUGUGUGCAUAUAACAAGAACCCCUAGGUUGUUGGAAUCAAUUUGGAGCCCUAUCUUAAUGGCAUCCCUCAAGGCCUACUGUGCCACUUUAGGAAAGAAGCUCCAAUUGGUUACAAUAGUGGGAUGCAUGCUGAAUACUUAUUUGUGUAACUCUCAGUGUUGUUGGCAUGUGAACACAAGCAUACUACAACCUUUAGAUGCCAAGACAUCUUUUUGACUUCUCUGUUUCCGCUAUGAACACUAGCAACUCUUUUUUUUAAGCCUUGUGUACACGAGUUGUGCGUGCCUUUCUUCAGUUGUACCAUACCAGGGUGAUGCAGCAGUGCAGAGAAGCCUAAACAGCAGGCAUCAACUUCACAAAAUUGUAGUCCGCAUUGGCCAAGCUUCGACAACUUGCUGCUGUCGAAAUGUUCUGAAAGGUUACACAUUUUGUUGCGCUGUUAUGUUUAGUUCUUUGUAGGGCGAAAUUUUCUCCGGAGGGUGUGUUCGAUAAUAGCCAGAAGGGCACAGCGAGUCAAGUUGUACAAAGUACUAGUGCAGCUUGGCCGAUAUUCUCAAAUGAUCACUUUCUGGUGAGGCUCUCACAUUAGCUGGGCACAACAUUUAGCGCAGUGUCUCAGUAUGUCGAUACUUGACCACUACGCAACCUCAUGGCGGCACUUUGUGCAAACAAAAACAGUGUAAACAAACAAGUUAACACUCGAUGGGUGUAAACUUUUUUGUGGAGAGUAAGGCUGUAUUAGUGUUGAGUCGAAUGGCCCAUAAGCCCUGCCCAUGCAAAGCAAUGAAAAGUGAAGCACAUGCCGGCUUGUGGCCCCUGUACGUAGUAACAGAUGCUCCUAAGCAACAUAACCACUCACUAAUGAAUACACGGUGCCUCGAAAGGCAUUGAUACAUGCUGAAGUUCGGAGCAUUGCGCAAUAUGCGCUGUGCGUACUUCUCUACAAUUUGGAGAGCGCGCCUCAUCGCACUGCACUGAUUUUCAUACAUCGCUGCUUCUGAAUAAAGUGUUGCUUUGUGGGCACAUGACAACCAAAUUUCAGGGAAAGGUGUUGAAAUCCUUCAUGCACUGAAAUUUCAAAACAGGUUCAAGAAUCCUGGCUGAUAAAAAAUGAAUGGAACUAAUGGCACUUCAGUGCAAUGCAAGUGAGCAUUGAAUUAUGUGGUUGUGCUGUGACAUUCUCUUUUUUUUUUUGUCAACUGAGUUCCUCUUUUUUUUUUUUUUUUUCAUGCAUAGGUCCCCCAGUGAACAAGGACAAGUUAAUAGAACACAUUCAGCUCCACGAGAUGGCAACCGUGACUCCCACAAUAACCAGGCCCAAGAGUGACAAAUAUACUCCAAAGAAUGUGAGCGCAUAAGGAAGCUCUAGCUACAUAUUUAAAAUUGUGCAGACCUACAUCGGAAAGAGAAAUGGGGAAGGAGACGACUGCCAGCAGCAGCCCUGACCAACCACUGGUUAACCACUCCUGGCUGCGAAGUGCAUCGUCCUUCCAAGUUUACUUCUCGCGUUUCCUCAUGGCACGACCGCAGCACUUCCAAAUAUGGCUGUUACAUGGCUAGCAUGUGGCUCCUUUUCUCUUUUUUUUAUACCCCACCCAUUUUCCUUUUGUUACUUUUUUUUCCCCCCUGUAAUAUGUACAUGUGAUACAGUCCCCCUGUGGGCACGGCCUCAUCGCUACCCUCUCUCGUGCUCCCUCUACGAGAUUAGGUGCGCAGUUGCCUCUGGUGAUGCAAAACUUGCAUAAAUGUCUGCUUGUCCCUCCGUGUGUGUCUGUUUGCGUGUGUGUGUGUCUGUGUGCGAGAACUGUGUAGUGACAGUGAAAAUGCAGGAAAGCAUCAAAGAUGCACUCUUUAAGUAUGGCUAGAGCACUCCUCGAGGGCUUUUCUUUCUCCGUGGGUAUGCCUGUUUUAAGGUUGUGCUGCUAUUGCUACCCUGUACAUUGCAGCCGAGCUUGCAGUGCUGAUGACUGCAUUGUUGUCGGGGAUGGCCAGCCUUCUGUGUGAUUGUUCAGCAAGCAUUGCUACUCUCGUCGCGCGUGCAAGCUCGUUGCGUUGCUUUGCUCGUCCUAACAGUUUUGCAUCACCGGCAGAGUGCGCUCUGCAGCGGGGAUUUUUCAAUGUGGUGUGAAUCGACAGCAGAGUCUUGCAGCAAGUAUCUCUGAGCGAAACACAUUGUGCAUGUGUAUACAUUUGCUGAAUCAAUCUUGACAUCACUUUAAUGAGAUGUGGCUGUCCAUUACUUUUUUUUUCCCCCUUUCUAUUCAUUGACAUUUUUACGCAUGGCAACAUUUUGGAGGUUUCUUAUACAGACUUUUUAAAUGAAUGUUUCAAAUCAAGAUUGCAAGUAAGGAGUGUUCUUUCACUAGAGCAAGAAAGUGCUGAUAUGAUAGUGCAGAGGGAACAGGGUUUAUAGCAUCAUCUACUCGCGUGCAACCACGCUGAAGCCUUGCUUAGUUAAUUGUUGCAAGGGGAGACUUACUCCGUGGUGUGCGGCGUGUUUCAAGCCAGCCUGCCCUGGCAGCACUGCGAUCUUUGUUCUCAUGCAGGAUCAGUAAAUUGGUUUUAAGUGAACACCAUUGUUAUCUUAUGUAGCUGUAUGCAAAGAAGCAUUGGAGGUCCACAGUUGUGCAUUGAUUGUCAAUGCCUUGUUCUUUUUCUGAGUCGGCACAACCUCCAUGCACCUUUAUUUUUUUUCUUCCCUUUUAUACAUUCCACAUUGGCUUUGCAUGUUUUCCUCGCGUGUGUGAAAUGCGAGGCUCGAUGACUUAAGUGCACACUUAUGUGUCAUGAGAUGGGCUGCGCAUCCGAAACUAUUGAUGUUGUUGAGGCUCAGCCAUUUUUCUUUUUUUUUUUUGGACUUGAGUAUGUGUGUCAUGUUUGAUGGAAGAGAUUUCAGCCCCCCAAAUUCAGGAACCUGCUCAAUUCUCUGCUCUUGUUUUUCUCUGCUAAGUGUGAUAACAAGCCCCUUUUUGACUAGGCUUGCUCACUGGUCUUGAAUAACACUCCUAGGUGGACCUCAGCAUUCUUUGAAAACCUCGGUGUGCUCCCUGAAAUCUUUAGCGAAGAGUUGCUUGGAUGACGUCUUUUCCACUCCAGCACUCCCGAGUAGAUACUGGAACUGGUUGGUUGCGAAAUUUCAGUUGCACAGUUUCCGAGGUGCAUUACCAAAAUGCGGUGACCACAUAAACCAAGAGGUGGCGCUGGCCUCCAUUCGGUAGAGUCUAGCGGGGAGCUUGGAGUUGAGGUGCGCUCGUGAGUGUUCGGGGGUCGAGUGUCUGAAGUGAGUUUGCAACACAAUGGUGCUCUGUCCUAGCCUAUACCUUUUACUUGGAUUUGCACUAUUUCUCUUUUCCUUUCCCACUAGCAAAAAGGCGGUGCCUCAUCGGCCGCUUUCUUACUUUUCUCGUAUGAACAAAAAAACUGAACGUUCCACGAUGACCAGACCCACAGAUGUGUGUAUUGUCUGAGCAUUGUCGUCUGCCGAGUGGUGUUGUCUGCAGUGUGUGAAGCAAUUCUAGUCUUUCUUCCUCUUCUUUUUUUUUAAUUGCUAAGGGGUGUGAAAAAUGAAGCAGUUGCAUCUUAUUUAUUUUUAAAUUGUAGUAGGGAAUUUAACAGAAAUUGGCACAUCCUUCCCGUAAGCGUGCAGAUUUAUGCAUCAAGCGUGUCUGGCUUUCCAUCAGUCCAUGGUGCUUGAAAUGUGGUGUUUCACCUACAGUUUAUGUGGAGAGAUGCUGACUCUUCUUCUUUCCCGUGCCUUUUGGUGGUUGCAGAAGGGAAGUUGUUUCACUCAUAUUUAUAAAACCAAGUUUCCGAACCCUUUGUUUUAUUAACAGUGCUCACCAGCUGAAGUAGUGAAGGUUCACAUGGCCCCUGUUCUUACUGUCUUAAUGCUUCACAAUUUUUUUUUUUUUUUUUCGAAGUUCUUGUUAAUAUUGUGGGCAUUAAGGCUUUGUCUUCUCUUUUAAUGUGGCUGCCUUCCACGAAACUCAGUCUGUGGCAAACAUGCAUUUCUGUAGAAAUGAGAGAGAACAAUGGAAAAAAUAAAGAGGCAGCAGUUUGAUCUUGUGAUCCUAUUGAACAUUCAUGUGAAUGUGUGAUAGUGUGUUGUUACCACUAGGAAGGAUUAGUACACAUGUUGUGUGUGGAGACAUGGAACAUUCACAGCCACAUCACUGCUCUGGAACAACAAGUUGUACAGUAAGACCAAUAAAAAUUAAAUGUGUUGUCUUGUGGUA
Non-coding RNA from Dermacentor andersoni, 6398 nucleotides. The record is from RefSeq and is a predicted model, not a curated record. Lineage: Eukaryota; Metazoa; Arthropoda; Arachnida; Ixodida; Ixodidae.